CAACUCUCAACAACGGAUAUCUUGGCUCCCGCACCGAUGAAGAACGCAGCGAAAUGCGAUACCUAGUGUGAAUUGCAGAAUCAUGUGAAUCAUCGAGUCUUUGAACGCAAAUUGCGCNUGAGGUCUAGGCCAAANGCAUGUCUGGCUCAACGUCGUUUC
Molecule: ribosomal RNA, 159 nt
Filed under: Botryococcus braunii
Lineage: Eukaryota; Viridiplantae; Chlorophyta; Trebouxiophyceae
Description: 5.8S ribosomal RNA
Rfam family: 5.8S ribosomal RNA
About the family: 5.8S ribosomal RNA (5.8S rRNA) is a component of the large subunit of the eukaryotic ribosome. It is transcribed by RNA polymerase I as part of the 45S precursor that also contains 18S and 28S rRNA.
Source: RNAcentral